AGGUAGCGUAAUCAUUUGUCUUUUAAAUGAAGACCUGUAUGAAUGGCACAACGAGAGCUUAACUGUCUCACUCUCCCAGUCAAUGAAAUUGAUCUCCCCGUGCAGAAGCGAGGAUUAAAACAUAAGACGAAAAGACCCUAUGGAGCUUUAGAUCCUGAAACAGCCCUCUUAAACUUAAUACAAUAAUUAUUUUCGGCCCCUGUUUCUAUGUUUCUUCGGUUGGGGCGACCAUGGAGAAAAAUAAAACCUCCACGAAAAACACUAAGUGUUUAAUAAAACCAAGAGCAACAACUCUAAUUUCCAGAAUUUCUGUUCACUAAAGAUCCGAUUAACUAAUCGAUCAACGAAACAAGUUACCCUAGGGAUAACAGCGCAAUCCCCUUCUAGAGCCCACAUCGACAAGGGGGUUUACGAC
This 415-nucleotide ribosomal RNA is filed under the name Anablepsoides bahianus. RNAcentral describes it as "partial large subunit ribosomal RNA". It matches the Rfam family "Bacterial large subunit ribosomal RNA", at positions 1954 to 2524 of the family's 2925-position model. Lineage: Eukaryota; Metazoa; Chordata; Actinopteri; Cyprinodontiformes; Rivulidae. The record is from RNAcentral.